UUGCACGCUGGCGGCAGGCCUAACACAUGCCAGUCGAACGGUAACAGGAAGCAGCUUGCUGCUUUGCUGACGAGUGGCGGACGGGUGAGUAAUGUCUGGGAAACUGCCUGAUGGAGGGGGAUAACUACUGGAAACGGUAGCUAAUACCGCAUAACGUCGCAAGACCAAAGAGGGGGACCUUAGGGCCUCUUGCCAUCGGAUGUGCCCAGAUGGGAUUAGCUAGUAGGUGGGGUAACGGCUCACCUAGGCGACGAUCCCUAGCUGGUCUGAGAGGAUGAACAGCCACACUGGAACUGAGACACGGUCCAGACUCCUACAGGAGGCAGCAGUGGGGAAUAUUGCACAAUGGGCGCAAGCCUGAUGCAGCCAUGCCGCGUGUAUGAAGAAGGCCUUCGGGUUGUAAAGUACUUUCAGCGGGGAGGAAGGGAGUAAAGUUAAUACCUUUGCUCAUUGACGUUACCCGCAGAAGAAGCACCGGCUAACUCCGUG
RNAcentral lists this ribosomal RNA (489 nucleotides) under uncultured bacterium. RNAcentral describes it as "partial 16S ribosomal RNA". It matches the Rfam family "Bacterial small subunit ribosomal RNA", at positions 30 to 507 of the family's 1533-position model. The record is from RNAcentral.